CUAACUACCAUAUUGGGACAGGGCCAUUAUCUGUAACAACUGUCUCCUAACUACCAUAUUGGGACAGGGCCAUUCUCUGUAACAACUGUCUCCUAACUACCAUAUUGGGACAGGCACCUGUCUCUGUAACAACUGUCUCCUAACUACCAUAUUGGGACAGGGCCAUUAUCUGUAACAACUGUCUCCUAACUACCAUAUUGGGACAGGCACCUGUCUCUGUAACAACUGUCUCCUAACUACCAUAUUGGGACAGGCACCUGUCUCUGUAACAACUGUCUCCUAACUACCAUAUUGGGACAGGCACCUGUCUCUGAAACAACUGUCUCCUAACUACCAUAUUGGGACAGGGACAUUCUCUGUAACAAAUGUCCCCUAACUACCAUAUUGGGACCGGGCCGUUCUCUGUAACAACUGUCUCCUAACUACCAUAUUGGGACAGGGCCAUUCUCUGUAACAACUGUCUCCUAACUACCAUAUUGGGACAGGCACCUGUCUCUGUAACAACUGUCUCCUAACUACCAUAUUGGGACAGGGCAAUUCUCUGUAACAACUGUCUCCUAACUACCAUAUUGGGACAGGGCCAUUCUCUGUAACAACUGUCUCCUAACUACCAUAUUGGGACAGGCACCUGUCUCUGUAACAACUGUCUCCUAACUACCAUAUUGGGACAGGGCAUUCUCUGUAACAACUGUCUCCUAACUACCAUAUUGGGACAGGGCAAUUCUCUGUAACAACUGUCUCCUAACUACCAUAUUGGGACAGGGCAAUUCUCUGUAACAACUGUCUCCUAACUACCAUAUUGGGACAGGGCAAUUCUCUGUAACAACUGUCUCCUAAACACCAUAUUGGGACAGGGCAUUCUCUGUAACAACUGUCUCCUAACUACCAUAUUGGGACAGGCACCUGUCUCUGUAACAACUGUCUCCUAACUACCAUAUUGGGACAGGGCCAUUCUCUGUAACAACUGUCUCCUAACUACCAUAUUGGGACAGGCAUCUGUCUCUGUAACAACUGUCUCCUAACUACCAUAUUGGGACAGGCACCUGUCUCUGUAACAACUGUCUCCUAACUACCAUAUUGGGACAGGGCCGUUCUCUGUAACAACUGUCUCCUAACUACCAUAUUGGGACAGGGCCUUUCUCUGUAACAACUGUCUCCUAACUACCAUAUUGGGACAGGGCCAUUCUCUGUAACAACUGUCUCCUAAGUACCAUAUUGGGACAGGGAAAUUCUCUGUAGCAACUGUCUCCUAACUAGCAUGUUGGGACAGGCACCUGUCUCUGUAACAACUGUCUCCUAACUACCAUAUUGGGACAGGCAUCUGUCUCUGUAACAACUGUCUCCUAACUACCAUAUUGGGACAGGCACAUGUCUCUGUAACAACUGUCUCCUAACUACCAUAUUGGGACAGGGCCGUUCUCUGUAACAACUGUCUCCUAACUACCAUAUUGGGACAGGCGCCUGUCUCUGUAACAACUGUCUCCUAACUACCAUAUUGGGACAGGCGCCUGUCUCUGUAACAACUGUCUCCUAUGUACUAGGCUAGCAUAUUGCUCCACACAUACUGGUAUUUGUUCUGAAUGGACCCCUGUUCCCUAAAUAGUGCACUACUUUCGACCAGAACCCUAUGGGCUCUGGUCAAAAGUAGUGCACUCUAAAGGGAAUAGGGUGCCAUUUGGGACAAACGCACAACACUCUGCACUCACCUCCCCCACCCUCCCCCUCUCCUACCCCCCUUGGCGUGUGUCGUCAUCCCCCCGGUGGACCAAGCUUGAGGAAGCUACAGAAGGUCUUGAUGUUAUUGUUUCCAGUGUGGUGUGUUCUUCCUGUCCUUGUGUUAAUACAUACACUCAACUGUACACUUCUGUCUUGACACUAGUUCCAUUCAGAUGAAUAAUAAUAAUAAUAAUAAUAAGGCACAUAGCAGAUACUUCUUUCCAACGCGACGGUCAGGGGUUCUGUUGUCUGGGUGUGCCCAGCGGGAAUUGAACCUCUCGUGUCGUGAUGCUCUUAUCAACUGAGCGUCGUGGAACCAGUUCAUGUUCUGUCUUCUUAAUGACCUGCAUUCCUUCUGUCAAAUCCAGCCUCGUAGUUUACUCAUUCUCACGUUAAACACAUCACAACUCAUUCCUUCUGUCAAAUCCAGCCUCGUAGUUUACUCAUUCUCACGUUAAACACAUCACAACUCAUUCCUUCUGUCAAAUCCAGCCUCGUAGUUUACUCAUUCUCACGUUAAACACAUCACAACUCAUUCCUUCUGUCAAAUCCAGCCUCGUAGUUUACUCAUUCUCACGUUAAACACAUCACAACUCAUUUAACAUCUUCUAUUAGAAAGGUGUCAUUACAUGCUCUGACUCCGUUGUCCAGGUUUGAAAAUAACAUUAUAUUGUCAUUAUUACUAUUAUUAUUAUAAUUACAUUGUCUUAACACUCUUCUCCUUUGAAUACAAUUCCAUAUUCUCUUCUACUCUUUAAUGUCGUGUUCCGUCGCCUAAUAUCAUAGGGCAGGUCCCAAAUGGCACCAUAUUCCCUACUUAGUGCACUACUUUUGACCCAGGCCUAUAGAGCUCUCUGGCCAAGAGUAGUGCACAAAGUAGGGCACAGUGUUCCAUUUGGGACGCAACCCGUGGACCGCUGUUUAUCCCCUCAUUCACAGUCUCCUCAAUGUAUUUCUAGGCCAUCCUCCUCUCAGCCGUGGACAGGCACAAUGCUGGUGUAUAUAUAUGUACUAUAUACAUACUGUUGCACUUUCUAGGAAAAUACAUAAGGCCUGUAGUCUUUUUAAACCAUAUGACUGGGAUCACACAAUUCUUAAUUCCCUGGUUUUACACAAAUCCUGGCUGGAAGAUUCCUGGGAAUAUGAGGGGAAUAAGCAGGAACUCCGGGACUCCUUCCACCAGGAUUUCUGGGAAAAGUGAUAAUUUGGGGAAAGUUGGGGACUGCAGCAGCCCUAUAGGAUCCUCAGCACUCCAAAGGGAGGUGUUUAAAGACCCUGUCUAAUACCACCACAUGAAAAGAAAAACAAUAAAACACAAAGUGUCAUAUUUUGCAACUUGAGUAUCAGUACAAUAAAGUUUUACUUGUUAAAAUGACCAACACAA
Oncorhynchus tshawytscha (Chinook salmon) is the source of this 3100-nucleotide long non-coding RNA. Lineage: Eukaryota; Metazoa; Chordata; Actinopteri; Salmoniformes; Salmonidae. The record is from Ensembl.